Molecule: ribosomal RNA, 443 nt
Filed under: uncultured bacterium
Lineage: Bacteria
Description: partial 16S ribosomal RNA
Rfam family: Bacterial small subunit ribosomal RNA
Source: RNAcentral
CCUACGGGAGGCAGCAGUGGGGAAUAUUGGACAAUGGGGGGAACCCUGAUCCAGCGACGCCGCGUGAGUGAAGAAGUAGUUCGGUAUGUAAAGCUCUAUCAGCAGGGAAGAAAGAAAUGACGGUACCUGACUAAGAAGCCCCGGCUAAAUACGUGCCAGCAGCCGCGGUAAUACGGAGGGGGCAAGCGUUAUCCGGAUUUACUGGGUGUAAAGGGAGCGUAGACGGCGAUGCAAGUCUGAAGUGAAAGGCGGGGGCCCAACCCCCGGACUGCUUUGGAAACUGGAUGGCUGGAGUGCAGGAGAGGUAAGUGGAAUUCCUAGUGUAGCGGUGAAAUGCGUAGAUAUUAGGAAGAACACCGGUUGCGAAGGCAGCUUACUGGACUGUAACUGACGUUGAGGCUCGAAAGCGUGGGGAGCAAACAGGAUUAGAUACCCCGGUAGUC